Molecule: RNA transcript, 2739 nt
Organism: Lycium barbarum (goji berry)
Lineage: Eukaryota; Viridiplantae; Streptophyta; Magnoliopsida; Solanales; Solanaceae
Gene name: ribulose-1,5 bisphosphate carboxylase/oxygenase large subunit N-methyltransferase, chloroplastic
Exons: 11
Source: RefSeq, a predicted model, not a curated record
UAGGCCGCAAUUUAAACCGGGGUCCCAAAAUUGGCUAUUUGUAUGCCAAGGCGCGAAGAUUUGGGGUUUUUUUUUUUUUUUUUUGCUUUAUCUCAUCACUGCAUAAGAUUUGGCUUUUGAUUAUCCUUGAAAUGCUGAUUACAUUUUCAAACACCUGGCGGCCUCCACUCUCACUCCUCGCUCGGCUCCGCUCCCACUUCACUUUCUCCACCAAGUGCUACAUCGAUGAAGAGUGUAAUGACUUUUUGCCGUGGUUGGAACACGAGGCAGGGGUGGAGAUAUCUUCUUUGCUUUCAAUUGGGAAGUCUGCUUAUGGAAGGUCGCUCAUUGCUCGUCACCCUAUAAAACCAGGCAAUUUCUUGUUGAAGGUUCCAUACAAUGUGCAAUUGGCCCCUGAUAAUCUUCCUAGAGGAAUCGAUGCAUUAUUAGGAGAUAAUGUGGGAAAUGUUGCUAAAGUUGCCUUGUUGAUUCUAUAUGAGCAGAAGUUGGGCAAGAAAUCGAAAUGGGCCCCUUACAUUACUUGUCUUCCCCGUCCUGAAGAUAUGCACAACACGAUAUUCUGGGAUGAGAACGAGUUAAAGAUGAUUCAACAAAGUUCUUUACAUCAGAAAACAAUUAUGCAUAAGCUGUUUGUCGAACAAGAAUUUUUAACAAUUAAAGAGGCUUCCUUCCAAUUCUCUGAAAUUAUCCAAGAUGUGACAUUAGAGGACUUCAAAUAUGCAUGUGCUUUAGUAACAUCGCGAGCAUGGGAAAGCUCUAGGGGUGUAUCAAUGAUUUUGCAAAUCAUAGUGACCUCUCUGACACAACUGUUUUGGGUAAUGAAGAGAAGCAACUUUCAGAGAUGGAGGAAAUGGAUCAAAUUUUGCAUCUCAACGGUAAGGUAUUCAGUCCUUGUGAAUGGUAACCCAUGCGGCUGUUUUGGUGGUUCAAGAGGAAUGAGACGAGGUGACCUGCUAUCCCCUAUGCUGUUCAUUCUAGUGAUGGAAGCAUUGAGCACGAUGAUGGAUAAAAUUGUGGCAGGAGGUUACUUUAGGGUUUCUCUAUAUCGGUUGGUUGACAAAGUUCGGUUUCACACCUCUUGUUUGCAGAUGACACUUUGGUGUUUUGAUGCUGAUAGUGCUCUGUUGAUUUACUUGAGACAAGUAUUGGCAUGGUUCCAGGUGGCGUCAGGCCUAAAGAUCAUCCUAAGUAAAUGUGACAUCUUCAAGUUGGCGAGGCAGAGAAUAUUGAGGCCGUAGCGCAGGUGUUAAAUUGUGAGGUUUUGGCUCUCCCUAUGACUUAUCUUAGUUUACUGUUAGGAGCAACUUAUAAGAACCAAGCAGCUUGGAAUCUGGUGAUAGAGAGGGUAGAAAAGCGGCAUGCCGGUUGACAAAAGAGGUACUUAUCCAAAAAGGGAAAAAGGAAGUGUUAAUCAAGAGCAUGCUAUCGAGUAUUCCCACAUAUUUUUUUUUCUUUGUUUCACGCUCUUGUCAGUGUUAUAGAGAAAUUGCAUAGACUUCAGAGGGAUUUUCUAUGGCAUAGGUGAAGCGGCGAGAGAAAGUUCCACCUGAUAAAUUGGGAGACUGUCACUACUUCAAAAUGUUGGAGUGGACUGGGGAUUAAAGAUUUAAGGGUCUAUAACAAGACGUUACUGGGAAAGUGACUAUGGAGAUUUGGGUAGAUGUAAAUGCUCUUUGGAGGGGGUAAUUGCGGAGAAGUAUGAGGUUUUGGAAGGGGGGUGGAGGACUAAAAGUGUGUCACUUUCCUAUGGGUGCGGGGUAUGGAGAAAUAUUCUGAAGGGGAAGAAAGUGUUUAUUGUGAAUAUAUCAUUCAGGGCGUGUGAUGGGAGCAGGGUGAGUUUUUGGAGGCAUAAGUGGUGCGGGAACAUAAUCUAGAGAAUCACAUUCCCAAACAUGUAUAGAAUCUCAUGCCAAAAGAGAUGUCAGUCCGACGACUACGAAGUCUGCAAGGGGGAGAAAUGCAGUGGGAUUUGAGGUUUAGGAAGAACUUGAAAGAUUGGUAGUUUGCAGAAUUUUAAAGUUUGAUUGAGCUGCUUCACAACCAAAGCACUGGAUAACCAUGAUGUAUGGAGAUCGGUGAGGCAAAUAAUGACAUUUUUUCUGUUAAGUCCUAUUAUGAGAAGUUCAUGAUUAGGAAGGAAUCGACUUUUCACAUAUCUUAGUAUGGAUCCUUAGAGUACUGGGAAGUUGUUAUCUUUUGCUUGGCUAGCGGCAAAGGGGUCAAUCUUGACAGCAAAGAACUUGUGGAAGAGGAAGGUUACUUGUGUCAGUUGGUGUUUCAUGUGUAAAAGCUCAGAUGAAGAUGUGAAUAACCUCAACUCACAUUGUCGGAUAACGUCUUUCCUAUGGCGGAAAAUUGUGAGAUGGUUUGAUAUUAUGUCGGUGAUGCUGGGCACGGUGAAAUAGAUGAUAUUUAUCUGGACUCUUAGAAGACAGAAGAGAAGAAACAAGGCAUGGGAUGUUGCUCCUUUAUAGCUUAUGUGGACCAUAUGAGAGUAAGAAAUAAGAAAGCCUUUGGUGGAGUAGAGGAGGAUUUUGUCCAGUUCAAGAAUAGCCUUUUAUCCCUUAUUUCUUUUUGGAGCACCCACUAAGUUCCCUAUAGGUUAUUGCUAAUUGUAGUUACGCUCCUGGUGAUCAGGUCUCAUGCAACUCGAAUGGAUUUUUGGUUCCAUAUAAUACUAUUCUUUCUCUAUCUUUAUCAAAGUGUCAUCUGCAACUUUUUGCCUUUUUGGUCAUUAAG